AUACCCCGAUGAUGUCAGCACUGGGCUCUGAUCGCUGUGAUGAUUUGGGUGCCUUCUGGGGACUUGACACUCCAGAAGACUGAGGGGUUC
RNAcentral lists this small nucleolar RNA (90 nucleotides) under Podarcis muralis (Common wall lizard). Lineage: Eukaryota; Metazoa; Chordata; Lepidosauria; Squamata; Lacertidae. The record is from RNAcentral.